UGGGGGAUAUUGCACAAUGGGGGGAACCCUGAUGCAGCGACGCCGCGUGAGGGAAGACGGUUUUCGGAUUGUAAACCUCUGUCUUUGGGGAAGAUAAUGACGGUACCCAAAGAGGAAGCCACGGCUAACUACGUGCCAGCAGCCGCGGUAAUACGUAGGUGGCGAGCGUUGUCCGGAUUUACUGGGUGUAAAGGGUGCGUAGGCGGGAUUGCAAGUCAGGCGUGAAAUGCAUCGGCUUAACCGAUGAAUUGCGCUUGAAACUGCAGUUCUUGAGUGAAGUAGAGGCAGGCGGAAUUCCGAGUGUAGCGGUGAAAUGCGUAGAUAUUCGGAGGAACACCAGUGGCGAAGGCGGCCUGCUGGGCUUUUACUGACGCUGAGGCACGAAAGCAUGGGUAGCAAACAGG
RNAcentral lists this ribosomal RNA (404 nucleotides) under uncultured bacterium. RNAcentral describes it as "bacterial SSU rRNA". It matches the Rfam family "Bacterial small subunit ribosomal RNA", at positions 355 to 776 of the family's 1533-position model. The record is from RNAcentral.